AUGAGGAGAAACCGUUAUGUGCGAAGUGCAUAAUUGAUAAUUGGUUUCUACGACCUGCCGCCUGGCGCAGGCGAGGGACGUUCAUUACA
Small RNA from Clostridium sp. CAG:167, 89 nucleotides. It matches the Rfam family "GA-cis RNA". Lineage: Bacteria; Bacillati; Bacillota; Clostridia; Eubacteriales; Clostridiaceae. The record is from Rfam.